This 253-nucleotide ribosomal RNA is filed under the name uncultured bacterium. RNAcentral's name for it is "partial 16S ribosomal RNA". It matches the Rfam family "Bacterial small subunit ribosomal RNA", at positions 524 to 776 of the family's 1533-position model. The record is from RNAcentral.
UACAGAGGGUGCGAGCGUUGUCCGGAAUCACUGGGCGUAAAGGGCGCGUAGGUGGUUUGGUAAGUGUGCGGUGAAAGCCCGGGGCUCAACCCCGUGUCUGCCGCGCAAACUGCUGAACUUGAGCAUACUAGAGGCAGGUUGAAUUCCGGGUGUAGCGGUGGAAUGCGUAGAGAUCCGGAAGAACACCGGUGGCGAAGGCGGCCUGCUGGGGUAGAGCUGACACUGAGGCGCGACAGCGUGGGGAGCAAACAGG